RNAcentral lists this ribosomal RNA (466 nucleotides) under uncultured bacterium. RNAcentral's name for it is "partial 16S ribosomal RNA". It matches the Rfam family "Bacterial small subunit ribosomal RNA", at positions 29 to 507 of the family's 1533-position model. The record is from RNAcentral.
AUGAACGCUGGCGGCGUGCUUCACACAUGCAAGUCGAACGGAAAGGCCAGUGCUUGCCCUGGUGCUCGAGUGGCGAACGGGUGAGUAACACGUGGGUGAUCUGCCCUGCACUUUGGGAUAAGCCUGGGAAACUGGGUCUAAUACCAGAUAGGACCAUGCUUUGGAUGGUGUGGUGGAAAGUUUUUUCGGUGUGGGAUGAGCUUGCGGCCUAUCAGCUUGUUGGUGGGGUAAUGGCCUACCAAGGCGUCGACGGGUAGCCGGCCUGAGAGGGUGUACGGCCACAUUGGGACUGAGAUACGGCCCAGACUCCUACGGGAGGCAGCAGUGGGGAAUAUUGCACAAUGGGCGCAAGCCUGAUGCAGCGACGCCGCGUGGGGGAUGACGGCCUUCGGGUUGUAAACUCCUUUCGCAACUGACGAAGCUUUUUGUGACGGUAGGUUGAGAAGAAGCACCGGCUAACUACGUG